GGUGAGUAAUGCAUCGGAACGUACCUAGUCGUGGGGGAUAACGUAGCGAAAGUUACGCUAAUACCGCAUACGUCCUACGGGAGAAAGCAGGGGAUCGCAAGACCUUGCGCGAUUAGAGCGGCCGAUGUCUGAUUAGCUAGUUGGUAGGGUAAAGGCCUACCAAGGCAUCGAUCAGUAGCGGGUCUGAGAGGAUGAUCCGCCACACUGGAACUGAGACACGGUCCAGACUCCUACGGGAGGCAGCAGUGGGGAAUUUUGGACAAUGGGGGCAACCCUGAUCCAGCCAUUCCGCGUGAGUGAAGAAGGCCUUCGGGUUGUAAAGCUCUUUCGGCAGGGAAGAAACGGUCCGCUCUAACAUAGCGGACUACUGACGGUACCUGAAGAAGAAGCACCGGCUAACUACGUGCCAGCAGCCGCGGUAAUACGUAGGGUGCGAGCGUUAAUCGGAAUUACUGGGCGUAAAGCGUGCGCAGGCGGCUUUUUAAGCCAGAUGUGAAAUCCCCGGGCUUAACCUGGGAACUGCAUUUGGAACUGGAAGGCUAGAGUGCGGCAGAGGGGGGUAGAAUUCCACGUGUAGCAGUGAAAUGCGUAGAGAUGUGGAGGAAUACCGAUGGCGAAGGCAGCCCCCUGGGUCGACACUGACGCUCAUGCACGAGAGCGUGGGGAGCAAACAGGAUUAGAUACCCUGGUAGUCCACGCCGUAAACGAUGUCUACUAGCUGUUCGUGGUCUUGUACUGUGAGUAGCGCAGCUAACGCACUAAGUAGACCGCCUGGGGAGUACGGUCGCAAGAUU
RNAcentral lists this ribosomal RNA (794 nucleotides) under uncultured bacterium. RNAcentral describes it as "bacterial SSU rRNA". It matches the Rfam family "Bacterial small subunit ribosomal RNA", at positions 105 to 895 of the family's 1533-position model. The record is from RNAcentral.